ACACUGUACGAGUUUGAUCAUGGCUCAGAACGAACGCUGGCGGCAGGCCUAACACAUGCAAGUCGAGCGCGCCCUUCGGGGUGAGCGGCGGACGGGUGAGUAACGCGUGGGAACGUGCCCUUUGCUACGGAAUAGUCUCGGGAAACUGGGGGUAAUACCGUAUGAGCCCUUCGGGGGAAAGAUUUAUCGGCAAAGGAUCGGCCCGCGUUGGAUUAGGUAGUUGGUGGGGUAAUGGCUCACCAAGCCGACGAUCCAUAGCUGGUUUGAGAGGAUGAUCAGCCACACUGGGACUGAGACACGGCCCAGACUCCUACGGGAGGCAGCAGUGGGGAAUCUUAGACAAUGGGCGCAAGCCUGAUCUAGCCAUGCCGCGUGAGCGAUGAAGGCCUUAGGGUUGUAAAGCUCUUUCGUGGGGGAAGAUAAUGACUGUACCCCAAGAAGAAGCCCCGGCUAACUCCGUG
This 461-nucleotide ribosomal RNA is filed under the name uncultured bacterium. Its description in RNAcentral is "bacterial SSU rRNA". It matches the Rfam family "Bacterial small subunit ribosomal RNA", at positions 1 to 507 of the family's 1533-position model. The record is from RNAcentral.